UACGUAGGGGGCAAGCGUUGUCCGGAUUUAUUGGGCGUAAAGAGCUCGUAGGCGGUCUGUCACGUCGGCUGUGAAAACCCGGAGCUCAACUCCGGGCCUGCAGUCGAUACGGGCAAACUGGAGUGUUGCAGGGGAGACUGGAAUUCCUGGUGUAGCGGUGAAAUGCGCAGAUAUCAGGAGGAACACCGGUGGCGAAGGCGACUACCUGGCCUGUUCUUGACGCUGAGGCGCGAAAGCUAGGGGAGCAAACGGG
RNAcentral lists this ribosomal RNA (253 nucleotides) under uncultured bacterium. RNAcentral's name for it is "partial 16S ribosomal RNA". It matches the Rfam family "Bacterial small subunit ribosomal RNA", at positions 524 to 776 of the family's 1533-position model. The record is from RNAcentral.